CGUGAGGGACGACGGCCUUCGGGUUGUAAACCUCUUUUAGCAGGAAAGAAGCGAAAGUGACGGUACCUGCAGAAAAAGCGCCGGCUAACUACGUGCCAGCAGCCGCGGUAAUACGUAGGGCGCAAGCGUUAUCCGGAAUUAUUGGGCGUAAAGAGCUCGUAGGCGGUCUGUCGCGUCUGCUGUGAAAACCCGAGGCUCAACCUCGGGCCUGCAGUGGGUACGGGCAGACUAGAGUGCGGUAGGGGAGAUUGGAAUUCCUGGUGUAGCGGUGGAAUGCGCAGAUAUCAGGAGGAACACCGAUGGCGAAGGCAGAUCUCUGGGCCGUAACUGACGCUGAGGAGCGAAAGGGUGGGGAGCAAACAGGCUUAGAUACCCUGGUAGUCCACCCCGUAAACGUUGGGAACUAGUUGUGGGGUCCAUUCCACGGAUUCCGUGACGCAGCUAACGCAUUAAGUUCCCCGCCUGGGGAGUACGGCCGCAAGGCUAAAACUCAAAGGAAUUGACGGGGACCCGCACAAGCGGCGGAGCAUGCGGAUUAAUUCGAUGCAACGCGAAGAACCUUACCAAGGCUUGACAUAUACGAGAACGGGCCAGAAAUGGUCAACUCUUUGGACACUCGUAAACAGGUGGUGCAUGGUUGUCGUCAGCUCGUGUCGUGAGAUGUUGGGUUAAGUCCCGCAACGAGCGCAACCCUCGUUCU
RNAcentral lists this ribosomal RNA (700 nucleotides) under Microbacterium schleiferi. RNAcentral describes it as "bacterial SSU rRNA". It matches the Rfam family "Bacterial small subunit ribosomal RNA", at positions 400 to 1111 of the family's 1533-position model. Lineage: Bacteria; Bacillati; Actinomycetota; Actinomycetes; Micrococcales; Microbacteriaceae. The record is from RNAcentral.